This 800-nucleotide ribosomal RNA is filed under the name uncultured bacterium. RNAcentral describes it as "bacterial SSU rRNA". It matches the Rfam family "Bacterial small subunit ribosomal RNA", at positions 8 to 801 of the family's 1533-position model. The record is from RNAcentral.
AGAGUUUGAUCCUGGCUCAGAACGAACGCUGGCGGCGUGUUUAAGACAUGCAAGUCGAACGGAGUGAAGUUGUAGCAAUACCGCUUCAUUCAGUGGCGCACGGGUGCGUAACACGUGAGUUACAUGCCCUGCAGUGGGGAAUAGCCCGCCGAAAGGCGGAUUAAUACUCCAUGGUCCCGCAAGGGUAAAGGUGGCCGCAAGGCUGCCGCUGCAGGAUUGGCUCGCGGCUUAUCAGCUUGUUGGUGAGGUAACGGCUCACCAAGGCGACGACGGGUACCUGGUCUGAGAGGAUGAUCAGGCACACUGGAACUGAGACACGGUCCAGACACCUACGGGUGGCAGCAGUCGAGAAUAAUUCACAAUGGGGGAAACCCUGAUGGUGCAACGCCGCGUGGAGGAUGAAGGUCUUCGGAUUGUAAACUCCUGUCAUCGGGGAGUAAGACCUGGAGGUGAAUAGCCUACAGGGUUGAUAGUACCCGAAGAGGAAGGGACGGCUAACUUCGUGCCAGCAGCCGCGGUAAUACGAAGGUCCCAAGCGUUGUUCGGAAUCACUGGGCGUAAAGGGAGCGUAGGCGGCGUGGUAAGUCAGAUGUGAAAUCCCGGGGCUCAACCCCGGAACUGCAUCCGAUACUGCCGUGCUUGAGGGUUGGAGAGGUAGCUGGAAUUCUCGGUGUAGCAGUGAAAUGCGUGGAUAUCGAGAGGAACACUCGUGGCGAAGGCGAGCUACUGGACAACAUCUGACGCUGAGGCUCGAAAGGCUAGGGGAGCAAAAGGGAUUAGAUACCCCUGUAGUCCUAGCA